This 241-nucleotide long non-coding RNA is filed under the name Elaeis guineensis (African oil palm). RNAcentral describes it as "long non-coding RNA (EGUI_LNC005081)". Lineage: Eukaryota; Viridiplantae; Streptophyta; Magnoliopsida; Arecales; Arecaceae. The record is from RNAcentral.
UUCCUUCCCUCCCUGCUGGGCUCCUUGGAGACCCCCGAGUUGUUGGCCUGGGCCGUCCCCUUCUGCCCCGGCGGCGACCUCAACGCCCUCCGGUACUCCCUCUCCGACCGCAUCUUCUCCCCCGCCGCCAUCCGUUUCUACCUCUCCGAGAUCGUCUCCGCCCUCGCCCACCUCCACUCCCUCGGCAUCGUCUACCGCGACCUCAAGCCCGAGAACGUCCUCCUCCAGGCCUCCGGCCACG